GAUGAAGAACGCAGCGAAAUGCGAUAAGUAGUGUGAAUUGCAGAAUUCAGUGAAUCAUCGAAUCUUUGAACGCACAUUGCGCCCCUCGGUAUUCCGUGGGGCAUGCCUGUUCGAGCGUCAUUUAACCCCUCAAGCCUAGCUUGGUAUUGGGUGCUUGUCUCGCCUCUCGCGCGGCGACUCACCUCAAAGUCAUUGGCAGCCCGCAUCUCGCCGGCCGUGAGCGCAGCACAGACGCGCUCUUGGCAACGACGGAUCGGCUCUCCAAAAGCUUAUUUCAACCACUGACCUCGGAUCAGGUAGGGAUACCCGCUGAACUUAAGCAUAUCAAUAAGCGGAGGA
Molecule: unclassified non-coding RNA, 339 nt
Filed under: soil metagenome
Description: partial contains 5.8S ribosomal RNA, internal transcribed spacer 2, and large subunit ribosomal RNA
Rfam family: 5.8S ribosomal RNA (bases 1-120)
Source: RNAcentral